RNAcentral lists this ribosomal RNA (248 nucleotides) under uncultured bacterium. Its description in RNAcentral is "partial 16S ribosomal RNA". It matches the Rfam family "Bacterial small subunit ribosomal RNA", at positions 355 to 594 of the family's 1533-position model. The record is from RNAcentral.
UAGGGAAUCUUCGGCAAUGGGGGCAACCCUGACCGAGCAACGCCGCGUGAGUGAAGAAGGUUUUCGGAUCGUAAAGCNCUGUUGUAAGUCAAGAACGGGUGUGAGAGUGGAAAGUUCACACUGUGACGGUAGCUUACCAGAAAGGGACGGCUAACUACGUGCCAGCAGCCGCGGUAAUACGUAGGUCCCCGAGCGUUGUCCGGAUUAUUGGGCGUAAAGCGAGCGCAGGCGGUUUGAUAAGUCUGAAG